Molecule: long non-coding RNA, 3116 nt
Organism: Gasterosteus aculeatus aculeatus (three-spined stickleback)
Lineage: Eukaryota; Metazoa; Chordata; Actinopteri; Perciformes; Gasterosteidae
Source: Ensembl
CAGUGUCCCACUUUUUGAUGUCUUCAAGGACGCCAGUGGCAUCACUCCUCUACAAUGUUACCCGCACUCUCAUGCAAGCAAUAUGUCCUUGACAAUGUAAACUUAUACGCGUAUAAAAAGAAAGGAGACUUUUAGUGCUGGUUUACUAAAAUGUAUACAGUGUAGACUUGAGACAAACUGGAGGAGGACAGUUUCUCUGAGAUAGAACAUGGUACGAAUGGGAGGGGGGACCUCUGAACGAUGUGGAGAAGUUGAGCAGCAACCCGCUGAUGCUCAUUCCUGCCAUCAGUGACGCUGAUGGCCGAUAAGUGCCUUUUGUAGAGGAUCACUUGGUGGACGGCAAAACCGCAAAUCAACCAAACCUUUUUGGAGUGCCAUAGUCGUCACAGAAUGAGCCCAUGUGGAGGGACCUGAAAGCGCUGAGGACUCAUCGGACUUGUCUCCUUGUCUCCUCACGUCCCAGACUUUGCUAACAGCACGAGGACAUGUGCUCCUCCGGACGGCGGCCACGUGGCCGGCAUGGCAGAGCCCCUUGUGUACACCCAUUACAGCCAUCAGGGGUCUUAUUCGCUGACGGAGAGUCAAGGGCCCAUCAUCAGGGGCCUCGGUGGCCCUGCUCUGAGCUGUCACGUUCGUGCCUGAAUGGAAUUUUGAUAGUUUCAUAGUGUCCUGUGAUUUGUCUUUGGUUAGGGUUUUCUUCUUUUUCUGUUAGCUUUCUGAAGGGUGUCCUCCCCGUACCUUCGCGAUGCCUCUAGCGCCCCCCCCGUCCUCGGUCAAGUCAGAUGUUCUCGUCACCAAUCACCGCAGACAAAGGUGACGUGCCGAAGGCCACGAGGGUAAACAAGGGAGCGGGGAGCAGAACGCCCUUCAGACCAUUUCAGACCAAUCCAUCAGCUUCCAGGAUGUACGCCAAAAAAUAGAAAAGCCUUUAUUUUUAUCUUUGCCUUAUCCAUGUGUGACAGGUGUACACAUCAUCGUGCUAACGACCUCCUGUAUGUACAGGCCGAUAAGGCCUGAGUCGGCAAAUCUUUCUGUCAGGAGAGCCCGUUGUUAAAGUCAAAGUCAUUCGUUUCAAAACACGCUCUACACGUCGGAAAAGAAUUGCUGAAAACUCGUGGAAAGACUGAAGUUGAUCGUUUGUCAUAGUCAUUCAUUCCGUCUAACCGGACGAAGAAUGAUGUAAUGCUUUGAACCUCUCCUUAAAAGGAACAGUUGUGAGUUCUGUGAGAGUCGGACGAGGAAACGAUGAAGCUUGUUUGUCUGCUGUCACUCUUCAGGAUGGGGGACGAUCCUCUGGCUGCCUGUUCAUGACGCUAAGCAGCCUCGUGGUUUUCCGGCUUAGUGUUCAGACACGAGACGGCUCUCAUUCUGCUCCAUCCAUCUCUCUGCGUAGUCAAUGAGUGUGUUCCAUAAAAAGGUCCUUUAAGUGAGAGCCUCCUCCGGUGAAAGCGCCACAAUGGGGGCGUGGCUUGUGCGGUGGUCAUUUAUCUCACGCCGGAGGAAAAUGGAUGAGUUUCUCCACACAUUCCCCAGAGAAGCAGCAGAGUGAGCUGCACCCCCCCCUCCCCCCUCAUAAAGUCUGUCCCCAUGAACCCAGAGCUGACGCUGCCGCCGGCGUCUUCCUCCUGUCUGCGCUCCUCGUCCUUCCUCCUCGCUCCUUCCUCGAACACAGACGAGACGUCUAUUCCCGCGGAAAAAGAUUGCGAUGUGGAGGUGUGGAGGAGGCCCGUGUGUGUCCACCAGGGGAGCUGGAAGGCCUGUGGGUGCCCUCAGGAGAGCAUCAUCUGGGGUCAAGGAGGGGAUUGGGGAGCGUAGGAUGCAAGGAGACAGGAGAUGUAUCAGGUGGGGGAAUCUAGGAGACAAGGGGAGAGGAGUAGAGAGACUGGGGGGGCGUUUUUAUCCAACCACUAGAACAAAGCAGCAGCCUAACCAGCGCCCGAGCCCGGAUCCAAACGCCGGUUUAAUUGAUGCUUGAGCAAGUGAGUUCACGCUACAGCCUCCCUCCUCCUAUGGGAGAACUUUUAAAAAACGAUCUCAAGUCUUUUGCUGCUAUCGUCUUCAGAUCCUCUGCCGGGGGGGGGGGGGGAACGCUUGUGCUCGCUGUACGGUUGUUGUUAUUUUGGAAUAAGACAAAAAGCAGGCUUUGUUGAGUCACAUGCCCCCGUUUUUCUGUCUUAUUCCUCACAGUUGUUUUUGUUGCUGAGGGAAACGGUUGAAUGGAUUUGAAGCGCUCGCUCAAAUCUAAUGAGACAAGCUGUCUUUCAUAGUAAAAAGAAAGGAAAAGGUCUCGCGAAGGCUGCGGUAGAGACGAGGACGGGGUGGGUUUGAUAAGCAGGUGUGAGUACGUGUUGGGGAGGCGGGCGGAGGUAUUUAGGGAGAUGAUGUUGUAUGUGUUUUAAUGAACCUGAAGAUGGUGUUUGGGUGAAGAAAGGAAAGCGUGAGCGAAGCUGCGGGGCCCCCGCCGAGGACUGCUGGUCCCGCUUCGGAGAGCCUCGUUUGGAGGCGCCGGCGGGGGACCAGCGGGAGCGGCAGAGGAAGCCGCCUGUCGAUGAACGAGGCUCGCAGCCGCGCCUGCGUGCCGCCGCUUCUUGUCCCGGGGGGGGGGGGGGCGGGUGCCAAAAACAAAGGAACUGUGGAAAGCUGAUCCGUCACAGACACACACACAUAACAGGCAGAGGCCUGGAGGUAGACCAAAGGAGCUGCUGAUCUGUUAUGUUCUUUGUUUUAUUACUGUCGUCGUUAUGUAGAUGUUUGACCCUCAAAAGGGACGCCGCGAGGAGAGGCUCCAUCGCCCCACGGGGCGUUAACGCGGGGGCCGUUCCUUCCUGCACACGGGGCAUUUCUUUACCCAACGCUUCGUCUUGCUACCUUUCUUUUGUAUCUUGUACAUGUUUACAUUGUAUCUCCCAUCGCCCAAAAGAGAAACCGUAUUAAAUGUAUUAUCUCUGUUUUAGAACGACUCCUUUGCGUUUGUCUCACACUUGGGUUCGCGUGUGCCGCUGCGGAUUAAAGAGCAGCCAGCCGGCUCUCCGCUCGCCAUGAGCGAUGGCGUGUGGAAGGAAUGCUACAGAUUGAGACGUUUGUCUUUAUUCGCCUUCUUGCGCCGGCUGGAUUAA